RNAcentral lists this ribosomal RNA (429 nucleotides) under Bacteroidota bacterium. RNAcentral's name for it is "Bacteroidetes bacterium partial 16S ribosomal RNA". It matches the Rfam family "Bacterial small subunit ribosomal RNA", at positions 355 to 776 of the family's 1533-position model. Lineage: Bacteria; Pseudomonadati; Bacteroidota. The record is from RNAcentral.
CAGGGAAUCUUCCGCAAUGGACGCAAGUCUGACGGAGCAACGCCGCGUGAGUGAAGAAGGAUUUCGGUUCGUAAAACUCUGUUGUUAGAGAAGAACAGCGCAUAGAGUAACCGUUAUGCGUGUGACGGUAUCUAACCAGAAAGCCACGGCUAACUACGUGCCAGCAGCCGCGGUAAUACGUAGGUGGCAAGCGUUGUCCGGAUUUAUUGGGCGUAAAGCGAGCGCAGGCGGUCAAUUAAGUCUGAUGUGAAAGCCCCCGGCUCAACCGGGGAGGGUCAGUGGAAACUGGUUGACUUGAGUGCAGAAGAGGAGGGAGGAAUUCCAUGUGUAGCGGUGAAAUGCGUAGAUAUAUGGAAGAACACCAGUGGCGAAGGCGACUCUCUGGUCUGUAGCUGACGCUGAGGCUCGAAAGCGUGGGUAGCAAACAGG